UACAGUGAAUUAUUUAAUUCGGCGAAGAUAACAUUAUAUAAAGAACGAGACAAAUUGAUAACAUACUUUUUUAAGUCUCAAACAUAAUAUCCCAGUUUCUUUUUAUAAUAAAAGUCGUAUAUCGCAAUUCAAUUUUGUAAUUGUAUUUAUUUAUAAAGGAUUUCAAACGAAGGAUACAUACUUACGAGUAUAUUACAUCAUAGAAUAAUGUUUUAAAAUAUGUGUGAUCUUUCAAUUAUAGGAGACCAGAUCCAGAUUAACUAAACAGAAUUCAAAGAAGAAGAAGAAAUGUAACAUGAUAUUAACAUAAGAACAAGCAAAAGUGUUAUCAAACAUUAGAUUGCCCAUAAUCUACCUCUGCUCGGGAAGGCAAUACUUUAGAUCUCACCUUAAGUUAUUGGUGGCUGAGCUUUAUGCAGGCUUAUCUGGGAGAUACCUACCCACCAAUUGUCUACUGCCAAACAGUAAGUUAUUGCUGUUUCGGAUUGAUGGACGAAGAUGACCGCCACUCUAUUGCCGUUUCUUUUACGGUGCCGUGUGUUUAUAGUUCCAGGUGUUGCUAUGAAGUCAAGUUAUAGCCACCAUAGAUUAAUCUAUACAAAUAAAUAAAAUUGAAGUGUC
Molecule: long non-coding RNA, 621 nt
Organism: Nymphalis io (European peacock)
Lineage: Eukaryota; Metazoa; Arthropoda; Insecta; Lepidoptera; Nymphalidae
Exons: 3
Source: RefSeq, a predicted model, not a curated record